Molecule: ribosomal RNA, 512 nt
Filed under: uncultured bacterium
Lineage: Bacteria
Description: partial 16S ribosomal RNA
Rfam family: Bacterial small subunit ribosomal RNA
Source: RNAcentral
GAUGAACGCUGGCGGCGUGCCUAAUACAUGCAAGUCGAACGAAACUUCUUUAUCACCGAGUGCUCGCACUCACCGAUAAAGAGUUGAGUGGCGAACGGGUGAGUAACACGUGGGCAGCCUGCCCAAAAGAGGGGGAUAACACUUGGAAACAGGUGCUAAUACCGCAUAACCAUAGUUACCGCAUGGUAACUAUGUAAAAGGUGGCUAUACUACCGCUUUUGGAUGGGCCCGCGGCGCAUUAGCUAGUUGGUAGGGUAAAGGCUUACCAAGGCAAUGAUGCGUAGCCGAAUUGAGAGGUUGAUCGGCCACAUUGGGACUGAGACACGGCCCAAACUCCUACGGGAGGCAGCAGUAGGGAAUCUUCCACAAUGGGCGAAAGCCUGAUGGAGCAACGCCGCGUGGGUGAAGAAGGUCUUCGGAUCGUAAAACCCUGUUGUUAGAGAAGAAAGUGCGUGAGAGUAACUGUUCACGUUUCGACGGUAUCUAACCAGAAAGCCACGGCUAACUACGUG